This 493-nucleotide ribosomal RNA is filed under the name uncultured Bacteroidota bacterium. RNAcentral's name for it is "bacterial SSU rRNA". It matches the Rfam family "Bacterial small subunit ribosomal RNA", at positions 46 to 527 of the family's 1533-position model. Lineage: Bacteria; Pseudomonadati; Bacteroidota. The record is from RNAcentral.
GCUUAAUACAUGCAAGUCGUGGGGCAGCAGGUUCCGAGCAAUCGGAAUGCUGGCGACCGGCAAACGGGUGCGUAACACGUACGCAAUCUACCCAUUACAGGGGAAUAGCCCAGGGAAACUUGGAUUAAUACCCCAUAUUAUAUAGGAUUGGCAUCAGUCUUAUAUCAAAGCUUCGGCGGUAAUGGAUGAGCGUGCGGUUGAUUAGAUAGUUGGCGGGGUAACGGCCCACCAAGUCUACGAUCAAUAGCUGAUGUGAGAGCAUGAUCAGCCACACGGGCACUGUAGACACGGGCCCGACUCCUACGGGAGGCAGCAGUAAGGAAUAUUGGGCAAUGGACGAAAGUCUGACCCAGCCAUGCCGCGUGAAGGAUGAAGGUCCUCUGGAUUGUAAACUUCUUUUAUCUGGGGGCGAAAAUCACCCUUUCUAGGGUGCUUGACAGUACCAGGAGGAAUAAGCACCGGCUAACUCCGUGCCAGCANCCGCGGUAAUACG